UCUCUUUGUCCUUUAUCUUAUUUCUUUUUCUUCACUUUAUAAAUCUCCAAACCCUUUCCCACUGUUGGAUUUAGAUCUCAUCUUUGCUAUAUAUAUACACAUAAAUAUACAUAUAAUAUUCAUAUCGUUUCCUUUCUUCUCUAGUUAGCUUUUUUUCAUAUCUUUCUUGCUAGUUUUAAUGUUCUUUUUUCCCCCAAGGGAUUUGGUUCUUUUUGUUCAAGCUCUAUGUCAAUAAAUCUACUUUUCAACAUGCGGUUUUUUCCAUUAUCAAAGAGAAAUCAGAGUUUCAUAAGAUUUUGAUACAAUCAGCUUAGCUUCUCAUCAUAUUUUUGCCAGUUUAAUUCAUAGGAACUCUCUUUUUUUUUUUUUUUAAAGUUCAUAAAAGGAAGGAAAUUAGUAGGGUUUUUGUGGUUGUUUUUGUUAUAAAGAUGAGUAGUCUCAACUGGUUAGAUUCUUGUUGGGUAGAUCUCACGUAAUCAACUUUAUGUUUCAGCCACUGGUAAUAAGCCAGAUCAGCUGGUCCUAGCCAGCUGCCCCCUCUUUGAUGCUAAGAGUACGAACAUAUUUUCUUCCAAGAAAUUAUAUGUAAAAAAUCUUUUUCCUGUUUAAUUUUCUUUCUUUUUUUUUCUUGCAGAAGCUUUUCCAUGAUUUUAGGCUCUUUGGGGUCAUAUUCAAAUUUUUAAUCUUCUUUUUCUUUUAUUUCCUCUCCUUUUAUAUAAAUCCCAAAACUGUAUACAAUAUGUGUGUAUGUGCAUGGGGAUAUUUGGAUAAGUAGAUAGAUUGACAGUCGUUGUUUGCAGGUGUAGCAUCAUCAAGAUUCACAUGCAAAUUAUAUUGCUAAAAGUUCUUUGAAACUGAGAAUCUUGAUGAUGCUGCAUCGGCAAUAAACGACUACACAAAAGAGAUUAAAAGAAAAGAACCCUUUAAUUCCUGUUUUUUUUCUCCUUAGUUUCAAAGGAUACAGUUUUCGCCACUUCACAACAUCAACAAGAACAAGAUGAUCAGAAAAAAGGCACUUUUUUUUCUGUUGUUGUCAGGUGAGUAUUUACAUAUACAUAUAUAUGAUACAUGUAGACAAUUGGACAUACUUCAAUAUUAGUUUAUGGGGUAUUAAUCUUUUAAUAAAUAAAGGGUAUCUAUUUAGCUGUUUUUAAAGGACUAGUUGCAGAUCCAGAUCUGUAAUUAUUCUUCAGAGCCAAAUAUAUUGCUGUAGUGGAAAUAUUGGGUACUUUAACAUAUGAAGCUAUAUUGAGAGACUUUGUUGUGUUUAUGUAUGUUGAUGCUAUAUUGAAGGAAAUUAGAUCCAUUUGUUGGUAUUUUGUAGAUCUUUGAUUAUUUUAUUCCUAUUAUUUCAUUAAUGGUUUUUGCAUUGCAGAUAGGCAAAGAAGCACUCUUACAGAGAAAUGAGUAGUUUUAGGUUUUGUUUCUUUAUGGAAUUUGAUGAUAUCAAAUAACUAGGCUGCUGCAAAUUGGUUCUUUCCUCCAUAUCUUUGUCUUCAAAUAGAAAUUUUGAAGGGGAUUCUUCCAAGUGGAUUUUUGUCUUAAAGAAUUAGUAGAUAUUGUUGAAUAUUGGAAGCUUUCAAGAUCAUAAAUGGUGUAGUAACUAGUAAUUAUGGGACACUGCCAUUGGCCUUUUUUUUUUUUUUUUUUAAUAUUGUUAGUGGACCCUUAAAACAUUUUAUCUAUCUCUAUUCAGUUCAUAGUUUCUAAAAUUUGCUUCCUUCAGUCAUGAAAAUGAUAAUCCACUCUAGAAAUUUAUGGAUAUAUAUAUGAGCCCUCAAUCGCUUUCUAAGCUUUUAUACUUAUAUUCUCUGCUACAUGCAUUAAGGGUUUUUCUCUUAGUUCAUAAAAGGAAAAGAAAAUAAUAGGUACUUUUUUCCGAGUGUAGCAUCAUCAAGCUUAACAUGCAAAUGCAUGGAGGUGAUGAAAAAUUAUCUUGCUCGGCCUCUUUGUUUUUUCGUGUUUGAUGCUGGUGUACGAUACACCAAUAUGAGAAUAUGACCUCGAAAAGUCCUUCAAAUGUAUAGAAAAAUAUAGAAAGACUAAUUAUAUCUAUAUUAAACACAUAUACAUAUUCAAUAGUCACACUGAAAUUCAAUAUACAUAUUGAAUACUCUCACCCGAACUCAAAUAACUUAGGUAAAAAAUUUGAAAUUUGAUAACUUUUGUUGCAAAAGUACUUUGAAAUUGAGAAUCUUGAUGAUGCUCCACCGGCAAUAAACGACUACAGAAAAGAGAGGGAAAAAAAGACCCUUUAAUCUUUUCCCCUUUUUUUCUCAGUUUAAAGUUACCCACUUUGCACUUCACAGCAUCAGCAAGGACAAGAUGAGAGAAGACUCUCUGUUGUUGUCAGGUGAUGUAAUGAGCUUUUACUAAAGCCAACAAGGUGGUUUGCUGAUGUUUCCAUCCCAUGAGAGUGCUUUGGAGUUGGAGGUGAGAGAAAUGGGGUUUUUUUAGAUUUGCUUAUGGGAUUUUGAUGAUAUUCAGAUGAAUAGGUUACUGCAAGUUCUUUGGUUCUGGAAAUUAGUAGAUAUUGUUGAAUAUUGGAAACUUCAAUGUGGAAGAGAAGAUAUAUAUAUGUAUGUAUGCGGUUCUUCGCUUCAGUUUGCUUAUAGGCCUUCUUAUAUAUUGUUGAAUAUUUCAUGCACUAGCAGACUAGUUUACCAAAUAUCUGCAAAGGGGGUUGAUUGAUGUAUUUAGUAAUUGCUUGAUCCUUUAGUGUUAAAAAAGUGAAGUAUAAAUAGAUGAAUGGAUAUUAGAAAAUUGAAGUCUCUGCAUCAUUGAGAUUGACGGUCUCCAUUCAAGAUUUUCUCUCUUUGUUACUUCAAAAGAUAGAUAGCCAUGGAUGCAUGAAUAUGUACUGGUUCCAGCUAGUACACACUUGUGCAGUUGUACACGUAUCCACUUGUUUCUCCUAAACUUAUGCACCUAUACAUAUACACUGAUAUACACUGCUUUGAUCCUGAUUUUAAUAAUGAAUUGCUGGAGAUUACGUUUUUGCAGGUAGGUUUAAUUAAUCAAAUAUUGUUACUAUGAGUUUUAUUUUGUUUGGAGUCAACCGCGUUGACCGAUAGAGGUUCACCCAUCAUGAAGGAACCUCGCCAACUUACAUCAAAGAUUUACUUAGAAUACAGUCUAUGAAGACAAGACCUUCCAUAAACUCUAAGCAAACGUGCUGAAGAUCAGUCAUGACUUAGCAGCUUACUGCAAGAACCUUGACAUCUGGCUCCUCCACCGCCACUUCAAACCUAUAACUUCCCCUUAGCUAAGAACCACUGACAAGAGACUUCCGUUGUUGUUACUCUACCGAAUUUCCCUCAGAUUUCACCUUUCUACAACUUCCAGCACAACUGUGUCAACCGUCUUCAACCACUCCCUGGUAUCAACACACACACAUAUAUAUAUUUUAUUUGUGUUCUGUACUACAUGAGUCAUGUUUGGGCUGUCAAAGACAAAAACCUAUAUAGUUAUCACAUGGUAAUGGAAUUUGAUUUGUUAACCACUGCUAA
This is a long non-coding RNA of Gossypium arboreum, 3509 nucleotides long. RefSeq lists it as uncharacterized. NCBI's taxonomy places the organism in Eukaryota, Viridiplantae, Streptophyta, Magnoliopsida, Malvales, Malvaceae. The record is from RefSeq and is a predicted model, not a curated record. The transcript has 2 exons.